RNAcentral lists this ribosomal RNA (467 nucleotides) under uncultured bacterium. RNAcentral describes it as "partial 16S ribosomal RNA". It matches the Rfam family "Bacterial small subunit ribosomal RNA", at positions 28 to 507 of the family's 1533-position model. The record is from RNAcentral.
GACGAACGCUGGCGGCGUGCUUAACACAUGCAAGUCGAACGGAAAGGCUCCAGCUUGCUGGAGUACUCGAGUGGCGAACGGGUGAGUAACACGUGGGUAAUCUGCCCUGCACUCUGGGAUAAGCCUGGGAAACUGGGUCUAAUACUGGAUAUGACCUUUCUCCUUAUGGGGUUUGGUGGAAAGUUUUUCGGUGUAGGAUGAGCCCGCGGCCUAUCAGCUUGUUGGUGGGGUGAUGGCCUACCAAGGCGACGACGGGUAGCCGGCCUGAGAGGGUGAUCGGCCACAUGGGGACUGAGAUACGGCCAAGCCUCCUACGGGAGGCAGGAGGGGGGAAUAUGGCACAGGGGGCGGAAGCUGGAGGCGGCGACGCCGGGGGGGGGAUGACGGCUUUCGGGUUGAAAACCUCUUCCGGCGGGGAGGAAGCGUAAGUGACGGAACCUGAAGAAGAAGCACCGGCAAACUAUGUG